CAGUCGCCGCGGUAAUACGAAGGGGGCUAGCGUUGCUCGGAAUGACUGGGCGUAAAGGGCGCGUAGGCGGAUUUGUAAGUCAGGGGUGAAAUCCCGAGGCUCAACCUCGGAACUGCCUUUGAUACUGUGGAUCUUGAGUCCGGGAGAGGUGAGUGGAACUGCGAGUGUAGAGGUGAAAUUCGUAGGUAUUCGCAAGAACACCAGUGGCGAAGGCGGCUCACUGGCCCGGAACUGACGCUGAGGCGCGAAAGCGUGGGGAGCAAACAGGAUUAGAUACCCGAGUAGUCCCUGUCUCUUAUAA
RNAcentral lists this ribosomal RNA (301 nucleotides) under uncultured bacterium. RNAcentral describes it as "partial 16S ribosomal RNA". It matches the Rfam family "Bacterial small subunit ribosomal RNA", at positions 509 to 809 of the family's 1533-position model. The record is from RNAcentral.